AUGGACGACUCCGCCCUGUUCAUGGAAUGGGCCAUGGACACGCUGGAGCAGGAGCACCCAGACCCAGUGGUGGCCGUCAACGGCGAGGCAGCCUUCCCCUCGCUUCAGGCGCUCUGUGAGCAGCGCCUCGUCUUCGAAGAGCUGAUUACGGGACCCAAUCCGGCAAGCAGCGGGAGCUCCGGCGAAACCACAGAUGGCAGCGGAUGUUUUGGUGGUAAUUUCUCGUGCCCGGCGGCCAUGGAGCAUGACAUCUGGCCCCCGUCCCCGCCGACCUUGGCCAGGUGCGCUCCAAGACUUUCCGGGAACGGUGGGGUUGGGGGCAUCAACCUUCCGGUGACGAGCUGGAAUUUCUGCGCCGCUUCCGCGCUGCCGGCCAGUGACAGUACACUGGACAGCGGCAACGCCGGGCCUGUCGUCCCGGAGAUGGUGUACGGGUCCCAGCCGACGAGGAGGGCCGCCGCAAGGAGCCCCACCGGCACCGGGCCCGUGUCGUCGGGGCCGCCUUACGCGCAGGACCAUAACAUGGCGGAGCGGAAGCGACGGGAGAAGAUUAACCAGCGCUUCAUCGAGCUCUCCACCGUCAUCCCCGGCCUCAAGAAGAUGCACAAGGCGACGAUCCUUUCCGACGCAACGAGGCACGUCAAGGAGCUGCAGGCGAAGAUCAAGGCCCUCGAGGCAGCCACCGGCCGCAGCAGUAGGAGCAUCGAGACCGUGGUGCUCGUCAAGAAGAAGCCGCGCCACGCCGCCGCCGCCGCCGUUUCAGACCAGAACGGCUCGCCCUUGUCGGCGUCGUCCUGUACGGGGAACCCGCUGCCGGAGAUCGAGGUGCGGUUCUCCGAGAACGGCGUGAUGUUGAGGAUCCUCUGCGACGACGUCCAGGGGGUGGUGGUGAGGGUGCUGGCGGAGGUGGAGGAGGGGCUCCACCUCACCGUCACCCACGCCAAUGUCAUGCCAUUCACGGCAUGCACUGUGAUCAUAACCAUCACGGCAAAGGUGGAUGAGGGCUUCACUGUUACAGCAGAGGAGAUCGUAGGAAGACUCAACUCUAUGCUGGAAUUGCAUAGCAGCUGCACUUCUACCGAAGAAAAAUGA
Molecule: ribosomal RNA, 1092 nt
Filed under: Triticum aestivum (bread wheat)
Lineage: Eukaryota; Viridiplantae; Streptophyta; Magnoliopsida; Poales; Poaceae
Description: partial small subunit ribosomal RNA
Source: RNAcentral